GAUGAACGCUGGCGGCGUGCCUAAUACAUGCAAGUCGAGCGAACAGAUAAGGAGCUUGCUCCUUUGACGUUAGCGGCGGACGGGUGAGUAACACGUGGGUAACCUACCUAUAAGACUGGGAUAACUUCGGGAAACCGGAGCUAAUACCGGAUAAUAUUUCGAACCGCAUGGUUCGAUAGUGAAAGAUGGUUUUGCUAUCACUUAUAGAUGGACCCGCGCCGUAUUAGCUAGUUGGUAAGGUAACGGCUUACCAAGGCGACGAUACGUAGCCGACCUGAGAGGGUGAUCGGCCAAACUGGAACUGAGACACGGUCCAGACUCCUACGGGAGGCAGCAGUAGGGAAUCUUCCGCAAUGGGCGAAAGCCUGACGGAGCAACGCCGCGUGAGUGAUGAAGGUCUUCGGAUCGUAAAACUCUGUUAUUAGGGAAGAACAUACGUGUAAGUAACUGUGCACGUCUUGACGGUACCUAAUCAGAAAGCCACGGCUAACUACGU
RNAcentral lists this ribosomal RNA (496 nucleotides) under uncultured bacterium. RNAcentral's name for it is "partial 16S ribosomal RNA". It matches the Rfam family "Bacterial small subunit ribosomal RNA", at positions 28 to 506 of the family's 1533-position model. The record is from RNAcentral.